GACGAACGCUGGCGGCGUGCCUAACACAUGCAAGUCGAACGGCAACGCCCUGCUUUCUUGGGGUUCCCGAUUGGCGAUCGGGUGCGUAUCACGUGUGUAACCUGCUCUUCUCUUUGGGAUGACUUCACGAAACUGGGCCUACUCUCGGAUCGGAUCCCCCCUUCCAUGGUGGGGGUUGGAACUUCUCGGCGGUCGCGGAUGGACUCGCGGGUUAUCGGCUUGCUGGUGGGGGAGUGGCUUACCCAGGCUUUGACGGGUAGCCGGCCUGAGAGGGUGACCGGCCACAAUGGGACUGAGAGAGGGCGCAGAGUCGUACGGUGGACAGCAGGGGGGAAUAUGGCACAAUGAGCGGAAGCCGGAGGAAGCGACGCCGCGGGCGGGAUGACGGCCUGCGGGGAAUAAACCGCAGUCGCCUGUGACGAAGCGGGAGUGACGGUAAUGGGUAAAGAAGCACCGGCUAACUACGUG
This 468-nucleotide ribosomal RNA is filed under the name uncultured bacterium. RNAcentral's name for it is "partial 16S ribosomal RNA". It matches the Rfam family "Bacterial small subunit ribosomal RNA", at positions 28 to 507 of the family's 1533-position model. The record is from RNAcentral.